This 964-nucleotide ribosomal RNA is filed under the name Pseudodidymocyrtis lobariellae. Its description in RNAcentral is "SSU rRNA". It matches the Rfam family "Eukaryotic small subunit ribosomal RNA", at positions 92 to 1065 of the family's 1831-position model. The record is from RNAcentral. Lineage: Eukaryota; Fungi; Ascomycota; Dothideomycetes; Pleosporales; Didymosphaeriaceae.
AAUGGCUCAUUAAAUCAGUUAUCGUUUAUUUGAUAGUACCUUACUACUUGGAUAACCGUGGUAAUUCUAGAGCUAAUACAUGCUAAAAACCCCGACUUCGGAAGGGGUGUAUUUAUUAGAUAAAAAACCAAUGCCCUUCGGGGCUCCUUGGUGAUUCAUGAUAACUUCUCAGAUCGCAUAGCCUUGUGCUGGCGACGGUUCAUUCAAAUUUCUGCCCUAUCAACUUUCGAUGGUAAGGUAUUGGCUUACCAUGGUUUCAACGGGUAACGGGGAAUUAGGGUUCGAUUCCGGAGAGGGAGCCUGAGAAACGGCUACCACAUCCAAGGAAGGCAGCAGGCGCGCAAAUUACCCAAUUCCGAUACGGAGAGGUAGUGACAAUAAAUACUGAUACAGGGCUCUUUUGGGUCUUGUAAUUGGAAUGAGUACAAUUUAAACCUCUUAACGAGGAACAAUUGGAGGGCAAGUCUGGUGCCAGCAGCCGCGGUAAUUCCAGCUCCAAUAGCGUAUAUUAAAGUUGUUGCAGUUAAAAAGCUCGUAGUUGAACCUUUGGCCUGGCUGGCAGGUCCGCCUCACCGCGUGCACUUGUCCGGCCGGGCCUUUUCUUCUGGAGAACCGCAUGCCCUUCACUGGGUGUGUUGGGGACCAGGACUUUUACUUUGAAAAAAUUAGAGUGUUCAAAGCAGGCCUUUGCUCGAAUACGUUAGCAUGGAAUAAUAGAAUAGGACGUGCGGUCCUAUUUUGUUGGUUUCUAGGACCGCCGUAAUGAUUAAUAGGGACAGUCGGGGGCAUCAGUAUUCAAUUGUCAGAGGUGAAAUUCUUGGAUUUAUUGAAGACUAACUACUGCGAAAGCAUUUGCCAAGGAUGUUUUCAUUAAUCAGUGAACGAAAGUUAGGGGAUCGAAGACGAUCAGAUACCGUCGUAGUCUUAACCAUAAACUAUGCCGACUAGGGAUCGGGCGGUGUUU